This 253-nucleotide ribosomal RNA is filed under the name uncultured bacterium. RNAcentral's name for it is "partial 16S ribosomal RNA". It matches the Rfam family "Bacterial small subunit ribosomal RNA", at positions 524 to 776 of the family's 1533-position model. The record is from RNAcentral.
UACGUAGGUGGCGAGCGUUGUCCGGAAUUACUGGGUGUAAAGGGCGUGUAGGCGGGGCGGCAAGUCAGAUGUGAAAUUCCGGGGCUCAACUCCGGCGCUGCAUCUGAAACUGUCGUUCUUGAGUGCUGGAGAGGAAAGUGGAAUUCCCAGUGUAGCGGUGAAAUGCGUAGAGAUUGGGAGGAACACCAGUGGCGAAGGCGGCUUUCUGGACAGUAACUGACGCUGAGGUGCGACAGCGUGGGGAGCAAACAGG